RNAcentral lists this ribosomal RNA (452 nucleotides) under uncultured bacterium. RNAcentral's name for it is "bacterial SSU rRNA". It matches the Rfam family "Bacterial small subunit ribosomal RNA", at positions 28 to 493 of the family's 1533-position model. The record is from RNAcentral.
GAUGAACGCUGGCGGCGUGCUUAACACAUGCAAGUCGAACGGGAUCCAUCAAGCUUGCUUGGUGGUGAGAGUGGCGAACGGGUGAGUAAUGCGUGACCGACCUGCCCCAUACACCGGAAUAGCUCCUGGAAACGGGUGGUAAUGCCGGAUGCUCCAGUUGAUCGCAUGGUCUUCUGGGAAAGCUUUCGCGGUAUGGGAUGGGGUCGCGUCCUAUCAGCUUGACGGCGGGGUAACGGCCCACCGUGGCUUCGACGGGUAGCCGGCCUGAGAGGGCGACCGGCCACAUUGGGACUGAGAUACGGCCCAGACUCCUACGGGAGGCAGCAGUGGGGAAUAUUGCACAAUGGGCGCAAGCCUGAUGCAGCGACGCCGCGUGAGGGAUGGAGGCCUUCGGGUUGUAAACCUCUUUUAUCGGGGAGCAAGCGAGAGUGAGUUUACCCGUGAAUAAGCAC